This is a non-coding RNA of Podarcis lilfordi (Lilford's wall lizard), 163 nucleotides long. The record is from the annotation of a GenBank genome assembly. NCBI's taxonomy places the organism in Eukaryota, Metazoa, Chordata, Lepidosauria, Squamata, Lacertidae.
CCUUAGCUUGGUGGUAGAGCAUCUGGCUUUGCAUGGAUAACAUCUCAGAUUCAAUUCCCAGCUUCUAUAGGUAGGGCUGGGACACAGGUGGCGCUGUGGGUUAAACCAUAGAGCCUAGGACUUGCUGAUCAGAAGGUCAGCGGUUCGAAUCCCUGCGACAGGG